CGGCGAUGUCCGAAUGGGGAAACCCAGUGCAAUUCGUUGCACUAUCGUUAACUGAAUACAUAGGUUAACGAGGCGAACCGGGGGAACUGAAACAUCUAAGUACCCCGAGGAAAAGAAAUCAACCGAGAUUCCCCCAGUAGCGGCGAGCGAACGGGGAGCAGCCCAGAGUCUGAAUCAGCUUGUGUGUUAGUGGAACGGUCUGGAAAGUCCGACGGUACAGGGUGAUAGUCCCGUACACCAAAAUGCACAGGCUGUGAACUCGAAGAGUAGGGCGGGACACGUGGUAUCCUGUCUGAAUAUGGGGGGACCAUCCUCCAAGGCUAAAUACUCCUGACUGACCGAUAGUGAACCAGUACCGUGAGGGAAAGGCGAAAAGAACCCCGGCGAGGGGAGUGAAAAAGAACCUGAAACCGUGUACGUACAAGCAGUGGGAGCACCUUCGGGUGUGACUGCGUACCUUUUGUAUAAUGGGUCAGCGACUUAUAUUCUGUAGCAAGGUUAACCGUAUAGGGGAGCCGCAGGGAAACCGAGUCUUAACUGGGCGUUAAGUUGCAGGGUAUAGACCCGAAACCCGGUGAUCUAGCCAUGGGCAGGUUGAAGGUUGGGUAACACUAACUGGAGGACCGAACCGACUAAUGUUGAAAAAUUAGCGGAUGACUUGUGGCUGGGGGUGAAAGGCCAAUCAAACCGGGAGAUAGCUGGUUCUCCCCGAAAGCUAUUUAGGUAGCGCCUCGUGAAUUCAUCUUCGGGGGUAGAGCACUGUUUCGGCUAGGGGGUCAUCCCGACUUACCAACCCGAUGCAAACUACGAAUACCGAAGAAUGUUAUCACGGGAGACACACGGCGGGUGCUAACGUCCGUCGUGAAGAGGGAAACAACCCAGACCGCCAGCUAAGGUCCCAAAGUCAUGGUUAAGUGGGAAACGAUGUGGGAAGGCACAGACAGCCAGGAUGUUGGCUUAGAAGCAGCCAUCAUUUAAAGAAAGCGUAAUAGCUCACUGGUCGAGUCGGCCUGCGCGGAAGAUGUAACGGGGCUAAACCAUGCACCGAAGCUGCGGCAGCGACACUAUGUGUUGUUGGGUAGGGGAGCGUUCUGUAAGCCUGCGAAGGUGACCUGUGAGGGUUGCUGGAGGUAUCAGAAGUGCGAAUGCUGACAUAAGUAACGAUAAAGCGGGUGAAAAGCCCGCUCGCCGGAAGACCAAGGGUUCCUGUCCAACGUUAAUCGGGGCAGGGUGAGUCGACCCCUAAGGCGAGGCCGAAAGGCGUAGUCGAUGGGAAACAGGUUAAUAUUCCUGUACUUGGUGUUACUGCGAAGGGGGGACGGAGAAGGCUAUGUUAGCCGGGCGACGGUUGUCCCGGUUUAAGCAUGUAGGCUGGUUAUCCAGGCAAAUCCGGAUAAUCAAGGCUGAGGUGUGAUGACGAGGCACUACGGUGCUGAAGUAACAAAUGCCCUGCUUCCAGGAAAAGCCUCUAAGCAUCAGGUAACAUUAAAUCGUACCCCAAACCGACACAGGUGGUCAGGUAGAGAAUACCAAGGCGCUUGAGAGAACUCGGGUGAAGGAACUAGGCAAAAUGGUGCCGUAACUUCGGGAGAAGGCACGCUGGUGUGUAGGUGAAGUCCCUGCGGAUGGAGCUGAGACCAGUCGAAGAUACCAGCUGGCUGCAACUGUUUAUUAAAAACACAGCACUGUGCAAACACGAAAGUGGACGUAUACGGUGUGACGCCUGCCCGGUGCCGGAAGGUUAAUUGAUGGGGUUAUCCGUAAGGAGAAGCUCUUGAUCGAAGCCCCGGUAAACGGCGGCCGUAACUAUAACGGUCCUAAGGUAGCGAAAUUCCUUGUCGGGUAAGUUCCGACCUGCACGAAUGGCGUAAUGAUGGCCAGGCUGUCUCCACCCGAGACUCAGUGAAAUUGAACUCGCUGUGAAGAUGCAGUGUACCCGCGGCAAGACGGAAAGACCCCGUGAACCUUUACUAUAGCUUGACACUGAACAUUGAGCCUUGAUGUGUAGGAUAGGUGGGAGGCUUUGAAGCGUGGACGCCAGUCUGCGUGGAGCCAACCUUGAAAUACCACCCUUUAAUGUUUGAUGUUCUAACGUUGGCCCCUUACCGGGGUUGCGGACAGUGUCUGGUGGGUAGUUUGACUGGGGCGGUCUCCUCCCAAAGCGUAACGGAGGAGCACGAAGGUUAGCUAAUCCUGGUCGGACAUCAGGAGGUUAGUGCAAUGGCAUAAGCUAGCUUGACUGCGAGCGUGACGGCGCGAGCAGGUGCGAAAGCAGGUCAUAGUGAUCCGGUGGUUCUGAAUGGAAGGGCCAUCGCUCAACGGAUAAAAGGUACUCCGGGGAUAACAGGCUGAUACCGCCCAAGAGUUCAUAUCGACGGCGGUGUUUGGCACCUCGAUGUCGGCUCAUCACAUCCUGGGGCUGAAGUAGGUCCCAAGGGUAUGGCUGUUCGCCAUUUAAAGUGGUACGCGAGCUGGGUUUAGAACGUCGUGAGACAGUUCGGUCCCUAUCUGCCGUGGGCGCUGGAGAAUUGAGGGGGGCUGCUCCUAGUACGAGAGGACCGGAGUGGACGCAUCACUGGUGUUCGGGUUGUCAUGCCAAUGGCACUGCCCGGUAGCUAAAUGCGGAAGAGAUAAGUGCUGAAAGCAUCUAAGCACGAAACUUGCCCCGAGAUGAGUUCUCCCUGAGACUUUAAGUCUCCUGAAGGAACGUUAAAGACGAUGACGUUGAUAGGCCGGGUGUGUAAGCGCAGCGAUGCGUUGAGCUAACCGGUACUAAUGAACCGUGAGGCUUAACCUU
Molecule: ribosomal RNA, 2797 nt
Filed under: Klebsiella pneumoniae
Lineage: Bacteria; Pseudomonadati; Pseudomonadota; Gammaproteobacteria; Enterobacterales; Enterobacteriaceae
Description: bacterial LSU rRNA
Rfam family: Bacterial large subunit ribosomal RNA
Source: RNAcentral